This 72-nucleotide transfer RNA is filed under the name Candidatus Harrisonbacteria bacterium CG10_big_fil_rev_8_21_14_0_10_45_28. Its description in RNAcentral is "tRNA-Arg". It matches the Rfam family "tRNA". Rfam says of the family: Transfer RNA (tRNA) molecules are approximately 80 nucleotides in length. Their secondary structure includes four short double-helical elements and three loops (D, anti-codon, and T loops). The record is from RNAcentral. Lineage: Bacteria; Candidatus Harrisoniibacteriota.
GUCCUCGUAGUUCAACGGAUAGAACGCGAGCUUGCGGAGCUCGUGAUCGAGGUUCGAUUCCUCGCGAGGACA